Molecule: ribosomal RNA, 427 nt
Filed under: uncultured bacterium
Lineage: Bacteria
Description: bacterial SSU rRNA
Rfam family: Bacterial small subunit ribosomal RNA
Source: RNAcentral
CCGAGAAUAUUCGACAAUGGGCGAAAGCCUGAUCGAGCGAUACCGCGUGGUGGAUGAAGUGCUUCGGCACGUAAACAUCUUUUAUGAGGGAGGAAGUUAUUGACGUUACCUCAUGAAUAAGGGGCUCCUAACUCUGUGCCAGCAGGAGCGGUAAUACAGAGGCCCCGAGCGUUACCCGGAAUUACUGGGCGUAAAGAGUGCGUAGGUGGCUGUGUUAGUCGUCCGUUAAAACCCGGGGCUCAACCCCGGAUCUGCGGGCGAAACGGCACAACUUGAGAGCGUGAGAGGUGAAUGGAACUCAUGGUGUAGGGGUGAAAUCCGUUGAUAUCAUGGGGAACACCGAAAGCGAAGGCAAUUCACUGGCGCGUUUCUGACACUCAAGCACGAAAGCGUGGGUAGCGAACGGGAUUAGAUACCCCCGUAGUCC